RNAcentral lists this unclassified non-coding RNA (1491 nucleotides) under Leishmania donovani. Its description in RNAcentral is "gene:LdHU3.20.0270(CDS-product:transmembrane_prot ein_putative)". Lineage: Eukaryota; Euglenozoa; Kinetoplastea; Trypanosomatida; Trypanosomatidae. The record is from RNAcentral.
CUUGCGUGAGAGCGGUGCUUCUACAUCCAGCAGAAACGGUACCCGCGCCCCCUCAAGAGACGUACGUUGGUGAAGGAUAAGAGGCGCUCUGGCCGCGUUGCUCUUCGCCAUCGAUCCCACUCCCACCCCGUCACUGUCUGCUGCAGCUGUUCGCGCGCUUCUUUAGACUGCAGCCUUCUCCACCGCUGAACUGCACGAUUGCAGAGCUGGGCCACUUUGGAAAUCGACAGAAAGGUAGACAGCGCCGGUACAGCCAUCUUCCCUCUCACGUCAUCCAUCAACGAGGGUAUGCGACGGUGUGUUCAUCUCUGCGCAAAGGCGGCCGCGGGAGUGGGCAGCCCCAAGCACGCCGCUGCCGGCUCUUCCCCCGCGAGUGCUUCUUCCCUCGAUGCACGCACAAACGCCAUCUUUGAGAUGCGGCAGUCCCCCACGUCUCUCUACGUAGACUCGAUGCACAGCAACACGCUCACGGAUCACCCCCUCACGCAUCGCAGCAGCCGCGACGAGCUUGCGUACCGCAAGCGGAAGCUGACGGAGCGUGGGCAGUAUGAGCAGGCCGCAAAGGCGGAGGAGGAGGCGACCCAACGCGACCGCGAAGGCAAGGCUGGCGCAGAAACAAGGGAGUACUACUGGGCAAUACUCUGCGCUGUACUGGGCUACUUGGCCGCUCAUGCUCUUGUGUUCAACUACUAUUACCCAGAUGACCUUCGGCCCAACUACUCACCUGACCGCGGCUACUUUGACGACGUGGCGGCACGGAGGGAGGAGCUAGAGGCGGUAGACGAGAUGGUGGGCUUGUCGGUGCUGGAGAGCGUGUAUAGCAAGCGCAAGGCUGCCGUGAAGCGCCGGCUUGAGGGCAGCUAAGCUCACAUGUGAAAUGGGUUAGAAAGGAAGGCGUUAGAACGGCGGUGAUGCACCAUGCACUGAUGUCAGCUCAUACCGCAAGAGUGGUUGCUCGAAUGGGAUGAGAGCAGACCUCGUGUCUCCCGGACCUUAGCGCUUCCUGCCCUUGGUGUCCAGCGGCCAUGUGUCUCCUUGCGUGACGGUGCGCGAGGCUUGCGCGCGUGUCCUCCGUGAGUUUUCGUCUCCGCCGAUUUGGGCCUCAUCGAGGUGUCUGCCGCUUUUCUUCUCUCUCCCUUUCUCUUGUUGUCACCACCGCCUUCCUCUAAUGUGCUUCGCUCUCGCACAAACACCCGCAUGUCGCCAAGCACAAUUCGCCGCGCUUCCAGCGCGUGAGUGCCGGUCAGUGGUCUUGCGCAGCCUGCAGUGCUUCCCUCUCUGCUCUGUUUCUGUUUCCGGGUGGGCAUGCUGUUGCUUCUCCACACCACACGCAUUGCAGGCGAAGCCUUCUAGUCGCGUUACCGCUCUGUGAGGUUGGCCACUUCUCGACGCGGCCGCAGACGCUGCAGACGGGUGGGGGAGGGGAUGAAUGCUCCCUUUCCCCAUCCCACCUCGUGACUCUCCUGCAGUCUUGACACACGCACUCCUGCG